AUUUCACUCGCUGUCCUCCCGUCAUCUUAUCCAUUCCUCCUGCGGCAACGGCGGCGGCUACGCCCAUUCCGUCGUGCGCCGUCGACGGCCGUCGCCGGCGUGUGGCCACGGCGAAGGUGGUCGGCCCAGACGGCUCUUUGGUGCAGUUCGCGGCGCCCGUCAUGGUGGGCGAGGCGCUGGGGGACGCCGCCAGCGCGUCGAGCUUCCUGUGCAGCGCCGACGAGCUCCGCUUCGACGCGCCCGCCCGUGCGCUGGCGACCGAGGAGGCGCUGCAGCCCAUGUGGCUCUACUUCGCGAGCUCCGCUUCGACGCGCCCGCCCGUGCGCUGGCGGCCGAGGAGGCGCUGCAGCCCGGGUGGCUCUCCGGCCUCCACGACCGUCGUCUCCGUCAACUUCGCCUUCGCUGACUUUGCCGCAAGGCCAUCUGCCAUCGCCUCUGCGGACUGCCGGAAGACCAUCAGCGAUCGCCUAGACCUACUUUGCCGCAUGUACUUUUGAAGCAUCUGAUGGGUCUCAUCUUUUUGUCAAUUCGUCAGUUUACUGUAGCUAAUAUAGCUGUUGCCAACAGUAGACUACAUUUGACUGACAAGCAACACAUAAUGCCAUCCUACAUAUAUGGAUUCUGUUUGUACUUGAUAGCAGCAGACUAAAUUUUUGUUUCUGUUAUGGUUGAAGACUUGAAGUGCACAGGGUGUUGUUUGAUCUAUUUUCAAAUGAUACUGGUACACACAUGAAUUGUAAAGACUUAAAAUUAUGAAGGAUGAUUAACCAUAUAUAUAGUUGAGAAUCUAUUUGUGCUAAUUGUAAUUUGUAUAACUGUACUGUUGGUUAUUACUAGAAAACGACUUUG
This 849-nucleotide ribosomal RNA is filed under the name Triticum aestivum (bread wheat). Its description in RNAcentral is "partial small subunit ribosomal RNA". The record is from RNAcentral. Lineage: Eukaryota; Viridiplantae; Streptophyta; Magnoliopsida; Poales; Poaceae.